UACGUAGGGUGCAAGCGUUAAUCGGAAUUACUGGGCGUAAAGCGUGCGCAGGCGGUUAUGCAAGACAGAGGUGAAAUCCCCGGGCUUAACCUGGGAAUGGCAUUGGUGACUGCACGGCUAGAGUGUGUCAGAGGGGGGUAGAAUUCCACGUGUAGCAGUGAAAUGCGUAGAGAUGUGGAGGAAUACCGAUGGCGAAGGCAGCCCCCUGGGAUAACACUGACGCUCAUGCACGAAAGCGUGGGGAGCAAACAGG
This 253-nucleotide ribosomal RNA is filed under the name uncultured bacterium. Its description in RNAcentral is "partial 16S ribosomal RNA". It matches the Rfam family "Bacterial small subunit ribosomal RNA", at positions 524 to 776 of the family's 1533-position model. The record is from RNAcentral.